Molecule: ribosomal RNA, 253 nt
Filed under: uncultured bacterium
Lineage: Bacteria
Description: partial 16S ribosomal RNA
Rfam family: Bacterial small subunit ribosomal RNA
Source: RNAcentral
UACGGAGGGGGCCAGCGUUGUUCGGAAUCAUUGGGCGUAAAGGGCGCGUAGGCGGAUUCUUAAGUCGGUGGUGAAAGCCUGGAGCUCAACUCCAGAACUGCCUUCGAUACUGAGAGUCUUGAGUCCGGGAGAGGUGAGUGGAACUGCGAGUGUAGAGGUGAAAUUCGUAGAUAUUCGCAAGAACACCAGUGGCGAAGGCGGCUCACUGGCCCGGUACUGACGCUGAGGUGCGAAAGCGUGGGGAGCAAACAGG